Molecule: long non-coding RNA, 799 nt
Organism: Falco peregrinus (peregrine falcon)
Lineage: Eukaryota; Metazoa; Chordata; Aves; Falconiformes; Falconidae
Exons: 6
Source: RefSeq, a predicted model, not a curated record
CGCUCGGCGGCCCGUGGUGAUCUGUGGUGAUCUGUGGUGAUCGAGUAACGGGGCCGGUGUGACCGGCCUCCUGUUGCCCUGUAGACGGGCUCGUUAUCCGGUGCGCAGCGCCAAUUCACACACCGAGUCGAGAACGGUUGGUCCUAGGAAAGAUCACAGAAGAAGUCAUCCUUGGAAGACGUACACGCUAGUUUCGUAAUCUGUGAGGUAUUUACAGGGUGGAGACACUGUUUCCUUAGUAACUUCAGUAGAGAAGCUAUUUGAAAACAUUGGGGUUUAGUUUCUCAUGACCUGCCAGCAAGAAGACUGGAGGGGCACAAGAAACUGGAGGGGACACAGCCAGGACAACUGACCUGAACUAGCUAAAGCCAAAGGAAUAUUCCAUACCAUAGAAUGUCACGCUCAGUAACUGGGGAGAGUUGGCCAGGGCCUGCUGAUUGCUGCUCAGGGACUGGCUGGGCAUUGGUCAGGAGGUGCCACAUUAGACAGAGAAAGAGCCUUCUGAAGGAAAAGUGUCCUAAGAAUCUGCAAUCUUAACCUGUGAGAGAUCAACUGUGCUUGAGCAGAGGACAAGGCAUUUGGAUCUAUGCUUCUGGAUUCUUAAAUACCAAUCUUUCAAACACAGCAUUGGAAGACAAGGAGGAGGAAGAAACUCUGAAGUUUUUCAGUAUCUGGGCAUAGCAGCAAAUGAGGAUGCUAAGGGGAAUCAAGAGACCUAAGAUAUUGGCUGCAAACUGAGAGGCUACCUUCCAGGUGUUGUUGUCUGGGGGGUAUGUGGUGACACAGUGGACAGACUGCU